GAUGAACGCUGGCGGCGUGCCUAAUACAUGCAAGUCGAGCGAACAGACGAGGAGCUUGCUCCUCUGACGUUAGCGGCGGACGGGUGAGUAACACGUGGAUAGCCUACCUAUAAGACUGGGAUAACUUCGGGAAACCGGAGCGAAUACCGGAUAAUAUAUUGAACCGCAUGGUUCAAUAGUGAAAGACGGUUUUGCUGUCACUUAUAGAGGGAUCCGCGCCGCAUUAGCUAGUUGGUAAGGUAACGGCUUACCAAGGCAACGAUGCGUAGCCGACCUGAGAGGGUGAUCGGCCACACUGGAACUGAGACACGGUCCAGACUCCUACGGGAGGCAGCAGUAGGGAAUCUUCCGCAAUGGGCGAAAGCCUGACGGAGCAACGCCGCGUGAGUGAUGAAGGUCUUCGGAUCGUAAAACUCUGUUAUUAGGGAAGAACAAAUGUGUAAGUAACUAUGCACGUCUUGACGGUACCUAAUCAGAAAGCCACGGCUAACUACGUG
RNAcentral lists this ribosomal RNA (497 nucleotides) under uncultured bacterium. RNAcentral describes it as "partial 16S ribosomal RNA". It matches the Rfam family "Bacterial small subunit ribosomal RNA", at positions 28 to 507 of the family's 1533-position model. The record is from RNAcentral.